AUGAGAUCUAAUGAGAUGUUACACAUGAAGACCAGAGCAGAGAGCCUGACACAGGCCUUUCUUCACACUUUGCCCUCUGGGCAGGAAGGCUUCUUCACGUCACAUUUCCACGGGCUGGAGUCCCACCCACCCCUCCUGCACGGUCCUCGUCAUCCCACUGCAGUUAGUCUGUGGCGCUUCUCCUCGGUGUCAGACAGCAGAGUUCAACAAUCCAAGGAGUACUUGGUGUCACCAACCUACAAGUGCCAAGACAACCCAGCAAAAGCUGAACUGCCCGGUGUCAAGCUGGGCAGUGUUCGCAUGUGCAGAGCACCUGUAAAUCUUACCCCAGAUACAGACAACCUGGCUGACCCCAGAAGGGGUUUUCCCCAGGGAGGGGAAAAAAAAAUCUCCCUACCAAUAUGAAGUUGUCAUCCUUUCCUGCUACAUGACCCGCAAGAAAUUCUGAUAAAAGUGACUUAAUUCAUGGUAAGUACUUAACACACGUCAAGCAUGCAACAGAGCCAAUUUUACUCAACUACAACUCUUCUAGUAGGUGUGGCAUUCAGUGGGUUCGGUGGGUGUUCAGAACCCAACAAAUACAUAAAACUGAAGUUUAAAGAAAUUCCAAGGCAGGAGGAUUGCAAGUUUGAGCCCAGGCAAUGUAACAACUUAGCAAGACUUUGUCUCAAAAAAAAAAAAAAAAAAAGGGAAAAGGGGCAAAGGGGCAGCGGGAAGAGGGGUGAGCCAGGGAUGCAGCUCAGGACAAAGGUCCUGAGUCCAAUCCCCAGUAUCACAAAAAACAAACAAACCCCCAAAAUUAUCUUGUAUUCUUCAGAGAAAAGAUGCUGCACAUUAUGAUGCGAUACAGGUAUGAGGCAAAAAUUAACGCUUUCUAGGUUGGCUCAAAGUCACUUUGCCAUUAUUUUAAAGCCUACAAUUUCUAGCCAAGCCAGAUCCUACAGGAACUCCAGCAGUGGUUAUAGAUCUGGCAUCUGCCCAUCAUGACUGGAGAGCCACGCAGUUGAGGAUCUUUUCAGGGAACCCUAAUAAGUGAGAUUUUAUCACAGCACUGUUGACCCCAAAUUAACAAGAAAGGAGUGGUUCUAGAGGCAGCCUACUGCUUCCAUUCACCAAGGUUAGCUGUUAUUGUUAAGCAGACUAGGAUACUCUGGGGAGUAACUAGUAUCUUAUUAAGUUAUAAAUACACUUAAUGACUUUAGUACUGGUUUUUUAUUUUUGGAAUAUGAGGAAGAAAAAAUAGAAACUCAUAGUCACUAGAGUCUAAGUAAAAGGCCACUAUUUUUUAUAAUAUGUAUUUACCUACAAUAUUGCUUAUGAAUUAUGUUUUUAUAGAGCCUGAAUGCUCCUUCAAAGGACAACUGUAACUCUCUUGUAACUGCAUCCAGCCACUUAGAAGGUUCUACUGGUUUAUCUGCUUGGAAAGAUUACAAGUGGUAGAAGAUCUGAAAAUCAUAUUGCUUGGUUUGAUUCAAACUAGUCAAACCAGUUCAGAAAAGACUAAAAGACCAAGAGAUUUUUCUCUCCACCCCCAUCUGCCUUUGUGGUUUCUUUUUUUUUUUUUUUUUGGUACUGGGGAUUGAACUCAGGACCUUGUGUUUGCCAGGCAGACAGUGGAACCACUGAGCUGAAUCCCCAGCCCUGCGGUGUCCCCUUAAGAGAAACCAAUGCCCAUUUUAAUUCACUGAACUUUAGAUUUUUUUUUUUUUUUUUUUUUUUUG
Molecule: long non-coding RNA, 1721 nt
Organism: Fukomys damarensis (Damara mole-rat)
Lineage: Eukaryota; Metazoa; Chordata; Mammalia; Rodentia; Bathyergidae
Source: Ensembl